AUAUCAAUAAGCGGAGGAAAAGAAACCAACAGGGAUUGCCUUAGUAGCGGCGAGUGAAGCGGCAAAAGCUCAAAUUUGAAAUCUGGCACCUUCGGUGUCCGAGUUGUAAUUUGAAGAUUGUAACCUUGGGGUUGGCUCUUGUCUAUGUUUCUUGGAACAGGACGUCACAGAGGGUGAGAAUCCCGUGCGAUGAGAUGCCCAAUCCUAUGUAAGGUGCUUUCGAAGAGUCGAGUUGUUUGGGAAUGCAGCUCUAAGUGGGUGGUAAAUUCCAUCUAAAGCUAAAUAUUGGCGAGAGACCGAUAGCGAACAAGUACAGUGAUGGAAAGAUGAAAAGAACUUUGAAAAGAGAGUGAAAAAGUACGUGAAAUUGUUGAAAGGGAAGGGUUUGAGAUCAGACUCGAUAUUUUGUGAGCCUUGCCUUCGUGGCGGGGUGACCCGCAGCUUAUCGGGCCAGCAUCGGUUUGGGCGGUAGGAUAAUGGCGUAGGAAUGUGACUUUGCUUCGGUGAAGUGUUAUAGCCUGCGUUGAUGCUGCCUGCCUAGACCGAGGACUGCGAUUUUAUCAAGGAUGCUGGCAUAAUGAU
Molecule: ribosomal RNA, 582 nt
Filed under: Meyerozyma caribbica
Lineage: Eukaryota; Fungi; Ascomycota; Pichiomycetes; Serinales; Debaryomycetaceae
Description: eukaryotic LSU rRNA
Rfam family: Eukaryotic large subunit ribosomal RNA
Source: RNAcentral